GGCGGCUCUGGGGGGUUUGGGGAUUUGGCUUUUAGUACAGCCGGAAAGUAGGGGCUGGGGGGGGCUCUGAAACUUUCGCUUUAGCCCAAAAUGUACGGUGUAUUGCUUUGAAGAGUUUGGCAUCUGAAUGUGGUCUUUUUCCACACACCCAGUGGCCUCUUAUCUUUGAAAUAUUUAAUCUUUUAAAGUUAUUUCUGUUUUAAAAUUGAGUUCCAGGUGUAAGGAGUGCCAGUGAACCCCAGCGUGCCCAGCAGCCUGCCUGCUUCCCUGCCCUUUCGCCGCCAUCCAGCCCGGGCGCGCUCUCCUGGAGCGUGCAGUGCUACGGCACCUCUGAGCCCUGCUCCCAGGGACUGCCCUGGAAGGAGGCUGUCUUCUGAGCUGCUACACGUUAUCUUCCCGGUGAAAUAACCUACGGAUUAUUACAAGGAAGAAGGAAAUGUCUGAGGACUCAUUCUUACUGCUAAAGUGGUGGAAAGAGACAGAAUGAAGGUGACUACUCUGAAUAAAGACGCAUGCUUGUGAUACUGGAUACUGGCAUCAUCUUCCUCAGUUCAAGUGGAACAUAAUGGGACAAAGAUAUCCAAGAACACCGAAGACUAACAGUUCCUUGGUCAAUGCACUUAUAUUGUCAUGAAGAUGAAGAAUCUCUUUGUCCAGUUCAGCUAUAUGAUGGUCUCGAUGUCUCAGUUCAUCUUGGAGGUCUGAUAUUCGGCAUAAAAAUUCUUUCUCCUGUGACAUAAGUAGCAGCAGC
This is a long non-coding RNA of Cygnus atratus (black swan), 751 nucleotides long. RefSeq lists it as uncharacterized. NCBI's taxonomy places the organism in Eukaryota, Metazoa, Chordata, Aves, Anseriformes, Anatidae. The record is from RefSeq and is a predicted model, not a curated record. The transcript has 4 exons.